GACGUAAUAACUUAAUGGUAAAGUAUUGGUUUCAUAAACCAAAGGACGGGGGUUCAAUCCCCCCUUACGUCA
Molecule: transfer RNA, 72 nt
Filed under: Candidatus Shikimatogenerans bostrichidophilus
Lineage: Bacteria; Pseudomonadati; Bacteroidota; Flavobacteriia; Flavobacteriales
Description: tRNA-Met
Rfam family: tRNA
About the family: Transfer RNA (tRNA) molecules are approximately 80 nucleotides in length. Their secondary structure includes four short double-helical elements and three loops (D, anti-codon, and T loops). Further hydrogen bonds mediate the characteristic L-shaped molecular structure. tRNAs have two regions of fundamental functional importance: the anti-codon, which is responsible for specific mRNA codon recognition, and the 3' end, to which the tRNAs corresponding amino acid is attached (by aminoacyl-tRNA synthetases). tRNAs cope with the degeneracy of the genetic code in two manners: having more than one tRNA (with a specific anti-codon) for a particular amino acid; and 'wobble' base-pairing, i.e. permitting non-standard base-pairing at the 3rd anti-codon position.
Source: RNAcentral